Molecule: non-coding RNA, 957 nt
Organism: Paramisgurnus dabryanus
Lineage: Eukaryota; Metazoa; Chordata; Actinopteri; Cypriniformes; Cobitidae
Source: RefSeq, a predicted model, not a curated record
GCAGAUUGAGAUGUUCCUCGACGAUGCUUGAUGACGUGGCAGCCGAGACUUUUUUUUAUUAAACAAAUAUUCAUGUACAAACAAUAAGGCAAUAAUAAUAGUUGUUAACAUUAAACAACAAUACACAUACACAUAUUAAUUAAUAUUUAAUUAAAUGCAAAAUAAUAAUAAUAAAAAAAAAAUAUAAUAAUAAUAAGGGGCUAGGGUUUUUCUUCUAAAUCAUAUUCACAUAUGAUGGACAAAAGACUAGUUGCAUUUUUCUUCUUAAUCGCUUUAAGGGCAUUUAUAAAUGAAACAAAUUCAGCAGGAAAUGCAUAAAACGUGGCAGCCGAGACAUGCAGCCUUCUAGGACGGAGCAUUUUUCCAAAAAAAAAAAAAAAAAAAAAAGGACGGAGCAUUAUUUAUUUUUAUUUUAUAUAUGUAUAAUGUACCCCCUGACUGAACUUGUAUUUCUUAUUAUUUAAAAAAAAAAAAAUUAAAAAUAAUUGUAAAAGGACGCAGCUGUGCGGUUGAGAAACGACCGGAAACGACUUAUAUGUCGCAAGGCCAUCACGUGACCACAAUAUUUACCAGAAGACCGUUAUUUGCUCGAUUACCCUCAACUUUUUUGUCGCAAAUAACAUCAUUAAUAACCUGUAAAUAAUCAAAUUUGUACACAUUACGUUCCUCUUCACUUUGUAAUAGUAUGUUUUUGGUUUAAUAGUCGGCUUUUAGUUAGUUUUUCUGUCAGUUUGAUCGUCAAAAUCUUGAAAGUUAUCUACAGCCACACAUCCACUGUAUACCAAGUUAUGAUGAUCAAUUAUGAGAAUGCAAAAGGAUUGAUAGAUCAGUAAACAAACAACAAAAAGAUGGGUGCUCAUGGUGGCCUCCGAAUAAAUACAUGGACAGGCUGCUAAAGAGGGUCAGGAUGAUGGAGAUGCAAGAGUCAAAGACAGCACAGACCAAACACCAGGCCAG